AAGGCGAGGCCGAAAGGCGUAGUCGAUGGGAAACGGGUUAAUAUUCCCGUACUUGGUGUUACUGCGAAGGGGGGACGGAGAAGGCUAUGUUGGCCGGGCGACGGUUGUCCCGGUUUAAGCGUGUAGGCUGGUUUUCCAGGCAAAUCCGGAAAAUCAAGGCUGAGGCGUGAUGACGAGGCACUACGGUGCUGAAGCAACAAAUGCCCUGCUUCCAGGAAAAGCCUCUAAGCAUCAGGUAACAUCAAAUCGUACCCCAAACCGACACAGGUGGUCAGGUAGAGAAUAC
RNAcentral lists this ribosomal RNA (286 nucleotides) under Salmonella enterica subsp. enterica serovar Senftenberg. RNAcentral describes it as "partial 23S ribosomal RNA". It matches the Rfam family "Bacterial large subunit ribosomal RNA", at positions 1393 to 1681 of the family's 2925-position model. RNAcentral also lists the same sequence under 2 other names. The record is from RNAcentral. Lineage: Bacteria; Pseudomonadati; Pseudomonadota; Gammaproteobacteria; Enterobacterales; Enterobacteriaceae.